RNAcentral lists this ribosomal RNA (348 nucleotides) under uncultured bacterium. RNAcentral describes it as "partial 16S ribosomal RNA". It matches the Rfam family "Bacterial small subunit ribosomal RNA", at positions 338 to 703 of the family's 1533-position model. The record is from RNAcentral.
CCUACGGGUGGCAGCAGUGGGGGAUAUUGCACAAUGGGGGGAACCCUGAUGCAGCGACGCCGCGUGGGUGAAGAAGGGCCUCGGCGCGGAAAGCCCUGGCAGCAGGGAAGAAAAUGACGGUACCUGAAGAAGAAGCCCCGGCGAACUACGGGCCAGCAGCCGCGGUAAUACGAAGGGGGCAAGCGUUAUCCGGAGUUACUGGGUGGCAAGGGGGCGGAGACGGCGAUGCCAGCCAGGAGUGAAAGCCCGGGGCCCAACCCCGGGACGGCUCUUGGAACGGCGUGGCGGGAGUGCAGGAGGGGCCGGCGGACUUCCUGGUGUCGCGGUGACAUGCCUAGCUCUCCGGAG